RNA transcript from Vitis vinifera (wine grape), 1814 nucleotides. It is a transcript of the gene named RNA pseudouridine synthase 5, with no coding region annotated. The transcript is spliced from 14 exons. The record is from RefSeq and is a predicted model, not a curated record. NCBI's taxonomy places the organism in Eukaryota, Viridiplantae, Streptophyta, Magnoliopsida, Vitales, Vitaceae.
UGAAUAUCAAGUAAUGAAUGUCUAAAGGGCAAAAAAGUUGCCGCUAAGGACUGCAAUCAUAUGUGAUUUGAAGUGAUUGUCAAGACUGAUUCUGGGGAAACCCUUAUACCUCCUGCCAUUCUUCGUCCUAUUCACAGAAUGUCCAAGACAUUCGGAGUCCCUUGGCCGGAUUUCAACGACGGCUUAACCUACAACGACGUCGUCUCAGCCUCCGAUUCUGAGUUGACACUGAUCGACUACUACUCCAGCAAGCACAAGAAUUCCGCUCCCUUGCAAGGAUGGCUACAGCGGAUCAACAAAGGACAGAUAACAGUCGAUGGGACAGUUGUUACGGAGCCCAAGACAAUUCUCAGAGCUGGUUCAAAACUAGUCUAUCACCGACUACCUUGGCAAGAGCCUGAUGCACCAUACUUGCUAGAGAUUUUAUAUGAAGAUGAUGAUGUGAUUGCUCUAAAUAAGCCUUCUGGUCUACAAGUUCUACCUGGUGGACUUUUCCAGCAACGGACUGUUUUGACACAGCUCCAAUGGCGGGCCAACAAGCAAAACUCUUUGCCAGCAUGCCAAGAAUCACAUUCUGUUCCUGUUCAUCGCCUUGGAAGGGGCACAUCAGGAAUAUUACUCUGUGCAAAGACAAAGCUUGCCAAAACUCGCCUUGCAGCAUAUUUUGCAGAUGGAACAUCAGUUGUAGGGGGCAACAGAGAUGCUGAUAUGAAGUCGAGGACAAUGAGGAAAAUAUCAAAGAUAUAUCGGGCACUAGUAAAUGGCAUACUUGACAAGGAUGAGAUUGUUAUCGAGCAGCCAAUCGGAAUGGUGCAAUAUCCUGGGGUUGCCAAAGGGCUGUAUGUUGCUUCUCCCUCAGGGAAACCAGCUUUGAGUAAAGUUUCCAUUCUUGAGAGAGAUGUUCAAGGAGACCACAUGAUUGUCCAGGUUGAGAUUCAGUCAGGACGGCCACAUCAAAUUCGCAUUCAUCUUUCUUUCAUAGGGCACCCACUGUUAGGUGAUCCUCUUUAUGUUCCUGGUGGUCAACCAAAGUGCUGUGAUGCUGAAUUUACCAAUGAAAGUUAUGCACUAGACGGAGGGUAUCAACGGCCAGUGAAACCUGUUCCUGGAGAUUGUGGAUACCAUUUGCAUGCACAUCAAUUGGUUCUUUCCCACCCGACCACAAAUGAGGAAAGUAUUGAGAGGAUAAUUUGGUGCUAGAAAAAGCAUUGCAUGUUCAUCGAUUGUGUGAAACAGGAUUGGACUAAUUUAAUUUCCAUGGGAUACCAAAACCUAAUUUGUUCAGUUUGCAUGGAUAGAGAGGAUGAAAUGGGAAAACACUCAAAAGAGGCAAUAGCGUGAUUAAAAUCACUGCCCCUCUCCCACCUGUCCUAAGAACUAGAGGCGAGGAAGAGGAACUGACCGAGGCUGAGGCUGAGGCUGGAGAGGUCGACCUUGGCAGCGGAGAUGGUUUCAGACUCAUUUCUGACACCAGUGCCCAUACCUGAACCCAGUAGCUGCGCGUGCCGAGUAUGUUGAACUCAGUUUUGAGUGCGGAUCAACAAAACGGACGCCUACGUCUUCUUCAAUCAGCCUUGAAUUCAACCUCGGCUUGAGGGAGCCAGCCUGAAUGAGGUCAAAGUUUUGACUUACGUAACAUAAUGCAGUGUAUUGAUAUCACAUUCAACCCAUCCCUACUCGAUUGAAAGAACGAACAUCUACAGAGACACAAAUCUAAUAUUAUUGGGUAUGGAUGCUUCAACUAUUAAAUUAUUUAUUGUCAGUUACUGUGAAAAUACUAAUAAGCAUUUACGUUGGUUAUUGUGUUAGCUAUA